This 791-nucleotide ribosomal RNA is filed under the name uncultured archaeon. Its description in RNAcentral is "bacterial SSU rRNA". It matches the Rfam family "Archaeal small subunit ribosomal RNA", at positions 85 to 879 of the family's 1478-position model. The record is from RNAcentral.
ACGGCUCAGUAACACGUCGAUAAUCUAACCUUAGGUCUUGAAUAACCUCGGUAAACUGAGGAUAAGACAGGAUAGGAGAAACAAAUUGGAAAAUAGUUUCUCUUAAAGGCAACGCCUAAGGAUGAGUCGGCGGCAGAUUAGGUAGUUGGUGGUGUAAAGGACCACCAUGCCUACGAUCUGUAGGGGCCUUGAGAGAGGUAGCCUCGAGAAGGGCACUGAGACACUGGCCCUAGCCCUACGGGGUGCAGCAGGCGCGAAAACUUUACACUGCACGCAAGUGUGAUAAGGGAAUCCAAAGUGCUCAAGUUUUUACUUGGGCUUUUGCCAAAUGUAAGCAGUUUGGCGAAUAAGUGGUGGGUAAGACGGGUGCCAGCCGCCGCGGUAACACCUGCGCCACGAGUGGGAACCACAAUUAUUGGGCCUAAAGCGUCCGUAGCCGGUCAAGUAAAUCUUUUGUGAAAUCACCAGGCUUAACUUGGUGACGUGCAGGAGACACUGCUCGACUUGGAACCGGAGAGGAGUUGGAAGUAUGAUGGGGGGAGCGGUAAAAUGCUAUAAUCCCCAUUAGACUACCUGUGGCGAAGGCGUCCAACUAGAACGGAUUCGACGGUGAGGGACGAAAGCCAGGGGAGCGAACCGGAUUAGAUACCCGAGUAGUCCUGGCUGUAAACUCUGCGAGCUAGGUGUCACGUAUCCGUUAGGAUACGUGGUGUCGUAAUGAAGAUGUUUAGCUCGCCGCCUGGGGAGUACGGUCGCAAGACUGAAACUUAAAGGAAUUGGCGGGGGAGCAC